AGAGUUUGAUCAUGGCUCAGGAUGAACGCUAGCGGCAGGCUUAACACAUGCAAGUCGAGGGGUAUAGUUCUUCGGAACUAGAGACCGGCGCACGGGUGCGUAACGCGUAUGCAAUCUACCUUUCACAAAGGGAUAGCCCAGAGAAAUUUGGAUUAAUACCUUAUAGUAUAGCGAGUUCGCAUGGAUUUGCUAUUAAAGAUUUAUCGGUGAAAGAUGAGCAUGCGUCCCAUUAGCUAGUUGGUAAGGUAACGGCUUACCAAGGCUACGAUGGGUAGGGGUCCUGAGAGGGAGAUCCCCCACACUGGUACUGAGACACGGACCAGACUCCUACGGGAGGCAGCAGUGAGGAAUAUUGGUCAAUGGGCGCAAGCCUGAACCAGCCAUGCCGCGUGCAGGAUGACGGUCCUAUGGAUUGUAAACUGCUUUUGUACAGGAAGAAACACCCCGACGUGUCGGGACUUGACGGUACUGUAAGAAUAAGGAUCGGCUAACUCCGUGCCAGCAGCCGCGGUAAUACGGAGGAUCCAAGCGUUAUCCGGAAUCAUUGGGUUUAAAGGGUCCGUAGGCGGCUUAAUAAGUCAGUGGUGAAAUCCCUACGCUUAACGUAGGAACGGCCAUUGAUACUGUUAGGCUUGAAUUAUUAGGAAGUAACUAGAAUAUGUAGUGUAGCGGUGAAAUGCUUAGAGAUUACAUGGAAUACCAAUUGCGAAGGCAGGUUACUACUAAUGGAUUGACGCUGAUGGACGAAAGCGUGGGUAGCGAACAGGAUUAGAUACCCUGGUAGUCCACGCCGUAAACGAUGGAUACUAGCUGUUGGAAGCAAUUUCAGUGGCUAAGCGAAAGUGAUAAGUAUCCCACCUGGGGAGUACGUUCGCAAGAAUGAAACUCAAAGGAAUUGACGGGGGCCCGCACAAGCGGUGGAGC
RNAcentral lists this ribosomal RNA (924 nucleotides) under uncultured bacterium. RNAcentral's name for it is "bacterial SSU rRNA". It matches the Rfam family "Bacterial small subunit ribosomal RNA", at positions 8 to 938 of the family's 1533-position model. The record is from RNAcentral.